UACAGAGGUCUCAAGCGUUGUUCGGAUUCAUUGGGCGUAAAGGGUGUGUAGGUGGCGCCGUAAGUCGGGUGUGAAAUUUCGGAGCUUAACUCCGAAACUGCAUUCGAUACUGCGGUGCUUGAGGACUGGAGAGGAGACUGGAAUUCAUGGUGUAGCAGUGAAAUGCGUAGAUAUCGUAAGGAAGACCAGUGGCGAAGGCGAGUCUCUGGACAGCAACUGACGCUGAGGCACGAAGGCCAGGGGAGCAAACGGG
RNAcentral lists this ribosomal RNA (253 nucleotides) under uncultured bacterium. RNAcentral describes it as "partial 16S ribosomal RNA". It matches the Rfam family "Bacterial small subunit ribosomal RNA", at positions 524 to 776 of the family's 1533-position model. The record is from RNAcentral.